Molecule: non-coding RNA, 3457 nt
Organism: Oryzias latipes (Japanese medaka)
Lineage: Eukaryota; Metazoa; Chordata; Actinopteri; Beloniformes; Adrianichthyidae
Source: RefSeq, a predicted model, not a curated record
GCUCCUGUGAAAACGACACGUCUCAUCAACGAGCUGAAUCGAACUGGGUAGAAUUGUCCUUUGCAGGCUUCCGUGGAUAAGCUGCUGUUUUGUUGAUGUUUUCCUGAUCAGCUGACAACCUCCUCACGAUCAAAUCUCGCACCGAAGCCGCGUGACACCGUCCAUUCCCUCACGUGCAGGCAAACAGAGCGUGUUUUUUACGCGCUGUCUGUCUUCUGACGUGAAUCCGGUAAGCAGCCGGGUUAGCAGGAAGCGAACAGGCUAACGCCAUCAGCCGCCCGAUGCUAGGAGACGCCAUGGAGGGUAUUCUGUACAAGUGGACCAACUACAUGACAGGCUGGCAGCCUCGCUGGUUUGUCCUUGAAAACGGGGUCAUCUCGUACUACGACAGUGAGGACGACGUCAACAAAGGCAGCAAAGGAUCGAUCAAGAUGUCUGUGUGCGACAUUAAAGUUCAUCCCACAGAUUCCACCCGGCUGGAUCUGAUCAUCCCUGGAGAGCAGCACUUCUACGUGCGUGCUGUGAACGCCGCUGAGCGCCAGAGGUGGCUGGUAGCGUUAGGUUCAUCCAAAGCUGGAAACCUGGACAGCAAGAAACACGGAGGUCCAGAAUGUCUGAAAACCAAGAUGUCUGAACUGCGUCUGUACUGUGACCUUCUGGUGCAACAGGUCCAGACCAUCCAAUCACAGAACAACACAGGAGAUGAGGCCACGCCCACAAGUGAGGCCUCUUUGCUCAGUGCCACGUGUACAACCUUCAUUCAGACUCUGGAGGAGUGCAUGAGCCUGGCCAACCAGAGCCUGAUGCCUGACUUGAGGCCUGCGGAGAAGAUGAAGAGAUCCGUCAGUCACCCAGGAACCUACAGCUUUGAGAGGUCAGGAAUGCUGAAGGAGUGUGUGAGCGGAGCUCAAAGGUCAAUGCCCCGCAGACCACGAACGUGCUCGGACAGCUCCGUCUAUGACGCCCAGCGUCCACUGCCGGGUCUGAACGGUGACUCAUCCUCUAUCCCAGAAGAAAGAACGGACAGCGUCAGCCCCAAGACCCCACCCACAGAUGUAGACACAGACUUGUCUAUUUGAACCCCAAUCCAAACGCGGCAGAACCACAGAGGACAUUUUUGAAAAGUGUUCUUCCACAACGUGUCCCUUCUGCCGAUCUAUUGCAGUUUCAUGCUGCAGCUGAGCUUCUGCUGCUGCCGUGCACGUGGCCCGCUCAGAGCUGACUCCUUCAGCGCAGAGAAUGAACUUUUUCUCCUGACUGUGUCUACGCAGAAUGCGAUUAUUCUGCUUUCUGAUGAAGCUUUGGGAGAACCAGUUCCGGUUCACAGGGAUCGGCAAGAAUCAACAGGUGUGCCGCUGCAGACUGUCGGAGGCCAGGGCCAGCAGGACCGCCGCGAGGCCCCCAGAGCCAGAGAACAGGGAGGCAUUGGGGCUUGCCACUCCAGCUCAACCAGGAGAGCAGCCUUCCCGCCGCGCAGGGAGGGCCCAACGCAGGGUCCCACCCCAGAAGAGUGCCCACAGCUCCAGACGAGCACCUCAACACCACCCAGCAGAUCUGGGCAUCCCCCUGCCCCACCCCAGCAGACAGCAGGCUCUGCUUCACCUCCAUGUCAUGGGACGCCUGGGAGUCCUCUCCCCCUCCCUUCUCUGAUCUCUCUCCCCAGGUUGGACCCAGCUGUCGGUACUCAUCUCAUCAGUCCUCUUGCUAUUUAAGAUGAGGCCUCUCCAGCAGCCCCUCUAUGGUUCAUUCAUCAUCAUCUGGUUACACCUGAGAUUCCAGACCUCCAGCCACGCCACGACUCCACGCCACGCAGCCGCUCCAUCACACCCACUAGUCCAAUACCACCGGAUCUCCAAACGCGUGCUACGCGUCACAGAAAGAAAAGGAAGGACCUCCGUUCCCACCGCCUCUCCCUCCGGGACUCGCGCUCCUUCUCUGGGUGCCGUUUCCCCAUCAUCAGCCACAAGAAUACGACUACGUAUUACUGUGUCAGCCUGGACAAUAAAUGGGUGACUCUUUCCAUACCUGUCUACGUUAUCUUUCCGGGUUCCAGCAACUGGGUCUGUCUCAGUGUUUCCACAACGAGAAGCAGCAUGCAUGCUGUGAUGUCAUAGUAAAGGAGAAGCAGGUGAUGCAUCUGGGAGCACAGAUGGAUCCAGUACUGAUGAUGAUGGAAUAAAUUACCGGCUUUGAGGGGGAAAAAAUUACUUUAACAGACGUCAGCAUCAAAGACUUCAUGCAUAUUGUAGUUUGACAGGUGUGAUAACCUCACAUUAUGCCUAAAAUGGACGAACUUGGUAUCAAACCAUCAUGUCUCAUUUCUUUCAGUAGUCCUUCAUGGAAGCUGUGAGUUUAUGUGACAUGAAGUUGAAAUACUGGCUGUGUCUUUACAGUUCCUUCUUACCUUUCUGAAACCUUUCAGGGUUGAUGAUAUCUGUUUUUUCUUCUGAUAACCUUUGCAGAGUGCAAGUCUUCUUCUAAAAUCAGAAAAAAGGACAUGAUUCUUGUUUUCCUCGUCUUCAUCACAUGUCUUGCUACUCCAGAAAAUCAAUUCCACACUUUAAACUUUGCAGCGUUACAUAUAAAUAGUGCAUUGACAGAGGAGUAAAAGUGUCCAGGCAGCUGCAGAAUACCCAUUAUGAUCAGAACAUUCAGAACACCACAGUGGUAUAAGACAUUGCUGCAGAACCUCGGCUGCUUCUUUGUCAAUUGGUGAUAAUGGACCCAUCAGGAAGAAGAGCAUUCCUUCCCCCUCUCUCUGCUCCUCCCUCCCUCUCUGCUCCUCCCUCCCUCUCUGCCCGUCUCAGUUCCAUCUCUGCUUCAGUAAUAAUGGAGCCCAGCAGUCCGAAGAAGAUCCAGUUUGCUGUUCCUCCUCUGCAGGGUCAGCUGGACCCACAGGCCGCUGAGCAGAUUCGACGCAGAAGACCAACUCCUGCCACUCUGCAGAUCUACAGACAGCCGGGCUCAGAUGCUGCAGAUCAACACAACGGGAGCGGAGACUCACAGUCUUCCUUGAGGGUUUUUAGCUUUUCCAAAUUCCAUGUGCAGCCCAGUCACUGAUGGGUCCAAUCGGGUCAGUGCAUAAAGUGGAUCAUGACUGUCAGAAGGAUCUUUCUGAUCUUCAGUUGUGCUGCUUUCCUCCUUUGCAGGCCUCAAAUCCCUUUCAGAAGAAGCAGAGCACCUAUGCCCCGCCCACCAUGACAGAUUUGUCGUGCACUCGGAAAAAGGAAGCACCAAGUCCUGAUUCCAUCUCCCGAUAGCCGCCUUUCAUCUGACCUUCUCUCACGCUUGGUCCCAUUUUCAAACCUGUUUUUCCUAUGGUGUCACAGAUCUGCAGUCUAAAAGCAAUAUUUUUUUGAAAAGGCAACCUUCUCCAUCAUUCCUUCAUGCACAAACAUUAAGUUAGAAUGCACUUGGAGUUCAAACUGUGGCUGUGAAUAAAGAUGUAAAAAGAAAA